GAUGAAGAACGCAGCGAAAUGCGAUACUUGGUGUGAAUUGCAGAAUCCCGUGAACCAUCGAGUCUUUGAACGCAAGUUGCGCCCGAAGCCAUUAGGCCGAGGGCACGCCUGCCUGGGCGUCACACGUCGUUGCCCCCCCAUCUACUCCUUCGGGAUUGCGGGGGGCGGAUGAUGGCCUCUCGUGCGCCUCGUCGCGCGGUUGGCCUAAAUGCCAAGUCCUCGGCGACGCACGCCACGACAAUCGGUGGUUGCGAAACCUCGGUUGCCUGUCGUGUGCGGUCGUCGCGCAUCGAGGGCUCGAAAAAAUUGCCGGGCUUCGGCUCGACUUUCAACGCGACCCCAGGUCAGGCGGGGUCACCCGCUGAAUUUAAGCAUAUCAAUAAGCGGAGGA
This 391-nucleotide unclassified non-coding RNA is filed under the name soil metagenome. RNAcentral describes it as "partial contains 5.8S ribosomal RNA, internal transcribed spacer 2, and large subunit ribosomal RNA". The stretch from base 1 to 122 matches the Rfam family "5.8S ribosomal RNA", at positions 35 to 154 of the family's 154-position model. The record is from RNAcentral.